AUUCUACCCAUAUGACCAGGUAAGUGAAAGAAAAGUUUAAUCUGAAAUAAUCUGAUGUUUCCUGGUUGACUGUAUUUUAACAGACAGCUGGCCCCAAGAUUCUAAAGUGACUGUGGAGUUUGCAGUUUGAACAAGUGCUUCAGCCUGGCAACUUAGCAAGACUCUUUCUCAAAAUUUAAAAAGAGCUGGGGAUGUAGCCCAGUAGUAGACUCCUUGCCUAGCUUGUAUGAGGCUGUUUUCAAUCCCCAGUACACAAGAAAAGGGACUGGCUACAGUGCUUGGGUAGCAUGUGUGAGGCAUUGGGUUCAAUUCUUGGCACCGCAAAUAAAUAAAUAAAUAAAUAUUUAUAUAAAUAUAGUUGUUGAGUGGGAUGACAACAAGUAUGUGAAAGUUCGUGAAACCAGUACUAUCUUUUUGUAUAUAAAUUAGAAAUUUUCUGUAUUGAAAGGUUGAACUAUCAAGAGUGUGAUUUGUGUAACUUGCAAAUGGGUGUGGGAGGUGUCAGGUGUUUUCCUGGUCUGCUCUGUUCCCCAGAGCCCUCUUCAUAGUUAUAGGCAUUUCUAUUGGAAGAGCCUCAAGAAAUCCUGUUUGAGGGUUGGCGUUGUGGUUCAGUGGUAGAAUGCUCACCUAACACACGUGAGUCACUGGGUUUGAUCCUCAGCACCACAUAAAAAUGAAAUAAAGAUACUGUGUGUCCAUCUACAACUAAAAAAUAUUAAAAAUAAAAGAAAACUUGUUUGAUAAAUGCCAGCUUUUAUUUCUUGCCAUCUGACAUUUAUUAAGUUGAUGUUUUUCAGAUACCAGCCCUAGAACCCCAUCCCCAGUCAAGCUCUCAUUAUUCCUCCGGCUUCCUCAGACAGAAAUACCAUCCCUUUGGCCAGCAUCAGAAGUCCUACCUUGCCGGGCACAGUGGUGCACACCUGUAGUCACAGCGGCUCUGGAGGCUGAGGCAGGAGGAUCGCAAGUUCAAAGCCAGCCUCUGCAAAAGCAAGGAACUAAGCAACUCAGUGAGACCCUGUCUCUAAAUAAAAUACAAAAUAGAGCUGGGGAUGUGACUCAGUGGCUGAGUGCCCCUGAAUUCAAUCCCCAGUACCACUCACCCCCCAGAAAAAGGAGUCCUACCUUCCCUCCUCUAAAACCCUAGACUGCUUGAAAAAAACCUCAGUUUUCUUACCUCUAAAAACAGAAUAAUAAAGAUAGUCCACUAAAUGAAUUGAGACAUGGGAAACACAUAGAAAAACAUCUGGAGGUUGGCAUGGAGUUGAUAAAUGUUAGCAUUUCUUGUGUGUGCCAUAUCAUUAUUGGGGACACAGCAACAGAUAUGUCAUAUUUUUUCUCGGGCAUCAUAGAGUUAACACACAGUAAACUAGAAAUUGCUUUAUGAUGUAAUAUUAGGGAGUGGCAAGUCCUAAGAAAAAUAAGCAGUUUAAGUUAGAGUGAGGACACAUGCCAAUUUGUCCAAGGAAGGCAACUGGGAACCAGAGACUUGAACUUAGUAGGCAAGGAGGCUGUCUGCUCUGCAUCUCUACUACAUAGGCCACAUACGUAAGUCAAUCCAUCUUGGCAGAACUUCCUGUGACCCUUGGAACACAGCAUGGAAAGCUCAAGAUGGGAUGCUAGCUAUCAGGCCAUUUCUCACUUGCCUCCCUGUCUCCCAGAGUGUACUGGUCUUACCAGCUUCUAGGGGAAAUAUUUUCUACCUUUCUCUUGACUCAGGGAUAUAGAACUAUAGCUUCACCUUGAAACUGGCUCUGUAGCCAGCUUGUGUCAUGUCAGCCAUGGAACAGUUUCCCUGCUGCCUGAUACAAGGGAUUAGAACUGAACUCUGACAAUUUUGUUUUUAUACUGAUGAUAGAACCCAGGGGCAAUUUACCACAGAGCUACAUCCCCAGUUUUUCAAAAUUGACAGGUUCUCUAAGUUGGUGAACCUGAACUAGAACUUGUUAUCCUCCUUCCUCAACCUCUGGGAUCAUAGGCAUGCACCGCCAAUGCUCUGAUUAUUCUUGCUUUCAUUUUCUUUGUAAGUAACUUUGGAAUCUAACAAAGACUAUUUUACCAGCCAAAUGUGUCAGCCUUGCCUUGACAUCUUAGAAUUACAGGCAGAAGGAAAAGCAGGCAAUACAAAGUCCCUGAGGUGGAAGCUUGCUUGGUGUGUGAAUAGCAAGUAUGUCAUUAGGGCAGGUACAGAGUGAUCAAGGUGGCCAGUGGUAGGACAUGAGGUUAGAGAAGUCUAGGGCCUUGUGGAGAGAACUAUCUUUUCUCUGAGAGAUGUGUCUCUCUUAGGGCAGGGUGCCAUUCAGAGGAGGGCCAUGGGUGACUUGGAUUAAAACAAUCUCUGGCUGCUAUGAGGUUAGGUAGGGGACAGGAAGAGCAGCAGCAGUGAGUCAGCCACUGCAUCAGUCUAGGACCUCAAUGGCAAUGGUAGUGGCAGCAGUGCAGGUAGAAAGGAGAAGUCAGAUUCUGGUAUAUUUUAAAGAAGGAAACAACAGGAUUUGUUGAUGGAUCCAAUGAAGAGGGUGGGAUGAGUAGUACUAAUUAGGACUCCAGACUAGAAGAGCUUACCCAGAGCCACUUGGCAGUUGGUGUUAAUAGGUUAAGAGGAAGGAUUCUGGAGCCUGGUGGUAUGGGUGUGAAUCCAAUUUACUGGCAGUGUAACUUCAGGCAGGUCACUCUCUAUUUGUCUUCAUUUCACCAUCUGUGACAUGGGAUGAUCAAAGUACUAAUCUCAUAGGACUGAGGACUAAAUGUUUUCUAGUUAUGUAAAGUACUUGUUAUUAGUAACAUUACUAUAUGAUGAAGUAAGUGCCUCAAAAAGAGCAUUCCAGAUAUCAGAAACAGUUUUCAAAGGAUAUGACAGCCAAUGUGGCUGAAGUCUAGACUGAUUGAGUGCUAAAGAAAUGCAGGUAGAGAGAAGGCCUAAGAUUGGCUUCUCAUAGAAGCUGGAAGCAAUUUUGGACUUCAGAGGUGAGAAGAGAGAGAGGGAAAGGAAAGUGAUGGGGGUCUUUUUUUUGAGUAUAUUUUUAGCUGUAGAUGGACACAAUAUCUUUUUUAUUUUUUAUGUGGUGCUGAGGAUCGAACCCAGUGCCUCAUAUGCUCCAGGCAAACACUCUACCACUGUGCCACAACCCCAGCCCUGAUGUGGGUCUUAAAUCUGGGAUGUACAGAGGAGAGAGAGCACUAUUAUCAACACUGUUGGCUAGGACCCAGGAGUGGGGUGGGGGUGGGGUGAUGGUUUCUGGUGUCCAGGAUAAGGAACUUAAGUUCAACUUCUGCCUGAGUCCAAAUACUGGUGUAAUAUUUUCUGUCAGUGGCAAUAGGCAGUAAAGCCCUCAGAUGACAGUGUAGUAAGUGUUCAAUGAAUGCAGUCUGUCACCACAAUCAUGGAAAAUCCAGGAUGGCUUAACACUUAAAAAAACGCUUAAUGGGCUGGGGUUGUAGUUCAGUGGUAGAAUGCUUAUCUAGCAUGUGUGAGGCACUGUGUUGGAUCCUCAGCACCAUAUAAAAAAAUAAUAAAAAAUAAAUAAAUAAAGGUCUUGUGUCCAUCUACAACUAAAACAUUUUUUUAAAAGCCCAACUGUUAUAAAGCAUGAGAUGUAUGUCCUCCUGAUUCAGUUUGGGCAUAUCAUAUGUCCCUAGAAAUUUGUCAUUGUCCUCAAGAUUUUUUUUAUUUCAUUAGAGCUUAAAUUUUCAAAAUAGUUUAUAAUUGUCUUCUGUAUUUCAAUAGUGUCUGUCGUGAUAUUUCCUUUUUCAUCACCUUUUGUUAGGGUGACUAAGGGUUUAUCAAUUUGAUUUUUUCAAAGAACAAGCUUUUGGUCACUUUUUUUUUAAAUGUUUCAAUUUAAUUGAUUUCAGCCCUGAUUUUAAUUAUUUCCUGUCUUUUUGGUGUCGAUUUUAUUCUUUUUUCUUCUUCUAGGGCUUUGAGAUGUAAUGUUAGGUCAUUUAUUUGCUGAUUUUUAAAUUUUUUUAUUCUUUUAAUGAAUGAGCUCAAUGCAUGAACUUUCCUCUUAGCACUGCCUUUUUAGUGUCCUAGAGAUUUUGAUAUAUUGUAUGUGUGUUCUCAUUUAUCUCUAAGAAAAUAUUUUUAUCUCCUUGCUGAUGUCUUCUGCUAUCCUUCCCCAUCUGAUAGUAUAUUAUUUAGUAUCCAGGUGCUAGAGUACCUUCUAUUUUUUAUUUUAUCAUUGAUUUCUAAUUUCAUUCUAUUAUGGUCUGAUAGAAUGCAGAGUAGUAUCUCUUUUUUUUUAAUUCACUAAGAUUUGCUUUGUGGCAUAACAGGGUUUAUUUUACAAAAGGAUUCAUGUGCUGCUGAGAAAAGCGUAUUCACUCAUUGAAGGAUGAAAUAUUUUAUAUGUCUGAUAAGUCUAAAUUAUUGAUUAUAUUAUUGAGUUCUAUAGAUUUUUGUUUAAUUUUUGUUUGGAAGAUCUAUCCAGUGGUGAGAGAGGUGUGUUAAAGUCACCCAGUAUUAGUGUGUUGUGUUCUUUUUGAUUCUUGAAAUUGUACGUAGAUGCUCCAUUGUUGGGGGCACAGUGACACAGCCACAUUAAUGUUUAUAGCAGCUCAAUUCACAAUGGCUGAACUGUGGAACCAACCUAGAUGCCCUUCAAUGGAAGAAUGGAUAAAGAAACUGUGGUAUGGGCUGGGGUUGUGGCUCAGCAAUAGAGUGUUUCCCUAGCUCGUGCAAGGUGCUGGGUUCAAUCCUCAGCACCACAUAAAAAUAAAUAAAAGUAUUGUGUCCAAGUGCAACUAAAAAUAUUUUUUAAAAACUGGUAUAUAUACACAGUGGAAUAUUACUCAGCAUUAAAAGAGAAUAAAAUCAUGGCAUGAUAAAUGGAUGGAGUUGGAGAAUAUCAUGCUAAGCAAAAUAAAC
This 4864-nucleotide long non-coding RNA is filed under the name Marmota monax (woodchuck). The record is from RNAcentral. Lineage: Eukaryota; Metazoa; Chordata; Mammalia; Rodentia; Sciuridae.